UACGUAGGGGGCAAGCGUUGUCCGGAAUUAUUGGGCGUAAAGCGCGCGCAGGCGGUCCUUUAAGUCUGAUGUGAAAGCCCACGGCUCAACCGUGGAGGGUCAUUGGAAACUGGAAGGCUUGAGUGUGGCAGAGGGGGGUGGAAUUCCACGUGUAGCAGUGAAAUGCGUAGAGAUGUGGAGGAACACCGAUGGCGAAGGCAGCCCCCUGGGCUAACACUGACGCUCAUGCACGAAAGCGUGGGGAGCAAACAGG
Molecule: ribosomal RNA, 253 nt
Filed under: uncultured bacterium
Lineage: Bacteria
Description: partial 16S ribosomal RNA
Rfam family: Bacterial small subunit ribosomal RNA
Source: RNAcentral